AAAUUGAAGAGUUUGAUCAUGGCUCAGAUUGAACGCUGGCGGCAGGCCUAACACAUGCAAGUCGAGCGGAAACGAGUUAUCUGAACCUUCGGGGAACGAUAGCGGCGUCGAGCGGCGGACGGGUGAGUAAUGCCUAGGAAAUUGCCCUGAUGUGGGGGAUAACCAUUGGAAACGAUGGCUAAUACCGCAUGAUGCCUACGGGCCAAAGAGGGGGACCUUCGGGCCUCU
This 228-nucleotide ribosomal RNA is filed under the name Vibrio parahaemolyticus. Its description in RNAcentral is "partial 16S ribosomal RNA". It matches the Rfam family "Bacterial small subunit ribosomal RNA", at positions 1 to 217 of the family's 1533-position model. The record is from RNAcentral. Lineage: Bacteria; Pseudomonadati; Pseudomonadota; Gammaproteobacteria; Vibrionales; Vibrionaceae.